Non-coding RNA from Anopheles atroparvus, 47 nucleotides. The record is from Rfam. Lineage: Eukaryota; Metazoa; Arthropoda; Insecta; Diptera; Culicidae.
AAAACGGCUCUUUUCAGAGCCAACCGAGUUAACAAAAUCACCAGUGU